GUUGGAGAAUACACGGCGAGGGAUCUGAGAGCGUUCCUCCAGACAGAACCUCUCCAGAUCCUUCACAUUUCGAGGUCCACGCUGGUGGACUCUCCUCUUCAGUUCACCCCACAGGUGUUCUAUGGGGUUCAGGUCAGGGGACUGGGAUGGUCAUGGCAGGACCUUGAUUUUGUGGUCAGUAAACCAUUUCUGUGUUGAUUUUGAUGAUGUUUUGGAUCAUCGUCCUGCUGGAAGAUCCAACCACGCCCCAUUUGAAUCUUUCUGGCAGAGGCGGUCAGGUUUUCAUUUAAUAUCUGUUGAUAUUUGAUGGAGUCCAUGAUGCCAUGUGUCCUAACAAAAUGUCCAGGUCCUCUGCAGAAAAACAGCCCAGAACAUUAAAGAUCCUCCUCCAUAUUUAACCGUGGACAUGAGGGACUUUUCCAUACGGCUCCCUCUCUGUGUGCUCCAAAACCACCUCUGUGUUUAUCACCAAAAAGCUCUAUUCUGGUUUCAUCUGACCGUAGAACCCGAUCCCAUUUGAAGUUCCAGUAGUGUCUGCACACUGAAGACGCUCCAGUUUGUUUUUGGAUGAGAGUAGAGGCUUUAGUCUUGAACCCCUUCCAAACAGCUUGUGGUGAUGUCGGUGACUUCAGAUUGUAGUUUUGGAGACUUUCUGACCCCGAGACACAACUAACUUCUGCAAUUCUCCAGCUGUGAUCCUCGGAGAUGUUUUAUCCACUCAAACCGUCCUCUUCACAGUGCGUUGAGACGAUAUAGACACGCGUCCAAUUCCAGGUCCAUUCAUAACAUUUCCAGUUGACUGGAACUUCUUAAUUAUUGCCCUGAUGAUGAGCCACGCCCCAUUGUGUGAAGCUCAACAACCUUUUGCUGCACAUCACAGCUAUAUUCCUCGCUCUUACCCAGUGUUAUGAAUGACUAAGGGAAUUUGGCCUGUGUUUUACCUCAUAUUUAUACCCCUGUAAAACAGGAAGUCAUGAUUGAACAAUUUCCUGUUCCUAGUCACCCAUUUUUACUAAAAAUUUUUAAAUAUUAAUGGGAAUAUACUGCACAUAGAUUUUGCUCAUGUGAAUUCAUAGGGGUGCCAAUAAUUGUUGCAAACCUAUAUUUAAGAAAGAUAUUUCUGGAUAAACCUGUCUUGUGUUUGAUAUCCAUGAGAAGAGUAUUUUUGUGAAUGUUUUGAACAAAAGAUCAAAAGGUUAAACAAUAAAGACAACGUAUACAAUUAUAUAUACUAUAUCUACAGACAGGACACAUGGACUGCAAAAUAAUGACCCUAUAAAAAAUUUUUAAAAGAUGUACAUAAUCAAAAAUGAGACAAUACAACGCGGGGACUUACUGGCGAGGUCGGUGCCGGAGGCGGCGCAGUUCCGCAGCAGGAUGUGGAUGAGUUUGAGGCCGAUGCGCGUGGACUGAAGGCCGAUUUUCACCAGAACAGCCUCGAUGUUGGGCGAGUGCAUACCGCAGUACGGAGACAUGAGCAGCGCCGCACACGUCUGCAGCAGGUUAGCUGUCUGCGAGGCCGCGCUCGCCAUCAUCGCUUCCAGAUCAGAAACGUGAGUCACGCAGUGGUGCAGCAGACGCAGCCAGCCGAUACUGAGCCAAGAACCACACACACACACACACAGUCUGAGAAUGAACCAAACAUGAGCUGGUAUUGUGUGUUAGAAUGAAAAGCACAAACACAGACAUCUGGAGAAGGAGGAGCUAAAGCAGAUGGAGUAAGGAUGACGGUGAUCAGGGAGCCAGGAGACCGACAGGUACCUGGUUUUGGAGACCUGGUCCUCAGAAGGCAGGAAGGGGUUGUUCACCGUGGCUGACGAGGUGCUGCCGAACGCGGUGAGGCCGAGCAGUUUGAUCUGCGACAGGCCGAGCGUGCUGGCGUCUCGAGGACGGUGCAGACGCACGCACACGGCCGACGCCACUUCCGCACGCACCAGCUGGAUUUUAAUGUAGGUGAGGCCGCUCGUGACGAGGGGCGUGGACAGGGGGAGCAUGUUCACACCGUCCGCACUGAUCUCCACCGACACCGAGGACGGACACGCUGGACACACAGAGCACACCGGGGAAUCAAACAAAAACACAAUCACUGAAGGUUCAUAUCUAACGCAGUGCUCCGGGUUCUGGAUUCUGAUUGGCCAGAAGGGAAGGUGUUGAUUAAUUCUUUAUAAGAGCAGCUCUGACAGUAGCACAGGUUUAUAUAUAUAUUAAUACGUUACGGUUUCUAUAGUAACGGCUCGUUCACAGGGACGUGCGCAGCGGACGCUCCGCUGAUAAACAGAUUGGGGGAAAAACCCGUUUUUAAAGUUUUCUGUAAGGAGAUGUCUAUGUAACAUUUCUGGAAGGAGUCUCCAGUUCCAGUUAAGAGAGGCUGGUGGUAACGUAAGUGAAGACAGGAACUGACUUCCACAGCUUUACUGUAACUAUAAACGGAUAAAAAGUGCAACGUGACACUCAUUAAUAAGUCAAACAUCGUAAUCGGUGGUGAAUUGCUGCGGUGUAAAAGGAAUAGAACACUAGGAGAUGUGCUGUUAGAGGAAAAUAAUCCUCUUUGAUGUGGUGUGUGUGUGUGUGUGUGUGUGUGUGUGUGUGUGUGUGUGUGUGUCUCACUGGCGAGCGAGGCGAGGUGUGGUUGGAUGUGGAGCUCUUUGAGCAGUACGGCGGCGGGGAGGUGGAUGGUGAGGUCGCACCACGCCUCCUCGGGGAGGAAGAUGUAGGACCAGGCGGCGGAUCGGGCUCGGCGGUGAGGAGGCGUGGCCUGGAGCAGAACCUCCGCAGGCUGAGCUGUAGGACUGCUCGAGGUUAUGGUGCCUGACGGGGGACAAAAAACAGACAGUAAACACACAGAACCCCAAAAAUCAGCUCAGAACAUCAGUGUUAAACACCAUCACUUUACCAAAACACACACGUUCUUCAACACGUACAAGAAUCACGUUAAAUACUACAAACAAUACCAAUAAAAGAUCAGACGCACGUCACGUCGACCCCUAAUUAACAUCCCUAAUUAGUUCAUUAACUGAAAAAAAAAUCCUGUGUUUGUUAUUUGUGUUAAGUAAUGGCACCCUCUCCAUUCACACCUCUGCAUCAAACGUCUAAAAUUCCCUCUCCUGCGCUCACGUGACCGACUUAUUUCUUUAGUUUUCGUUCCUGUGGGAGAUAAAUGAAGCUGGUUACCGAGAGGGGCGAAGUUGUGCAGUCCCUCUGCGUUCUCCGGCUCGGAGGCGAGGACUCGGGCCUUCAGGCUGCCGUCUGCUGCUUUCCCCGGCCCCGAGUCCAAAAACUUCAUGAUGGUGGAGACCAUGCUGCGUGCCGUGUUCACGAUGGCCCGCGUACUCGUCACCAUGUUGUUACAGAUCAGCUGUACUCCACC
Molecule: long non-coding RNA, 3367 nt
Organism: Ictalurus punctatus (channel catfish)
Lineage: Eukaryota; Metazoa; Chordata; Actinopteri; Siluriformes; Ictaluridae
Source: Ensembl